AGUGGCGGACGGGUGAGUAACGCGUGGGUAACCUGCCUCAUACAGGGGGAUAACAGUUGGAAACGACUGCUAAUACCGCAUAAGCGCACAGGGUCGCAUGACCUGGUGCGAAAAACUCCGGUGGUAUGAGAUGGACCCGCGUCUGAUUAGCCAGUUGGUGGGGUAACGGCCUACCAAAGCGACGAUCAGUAGCCGACCUGAGAGGGUGACCGGCCACAUUGGGACUGAGACACGGCCCAAACUCCUACGGGAGGCAGCAUG
This 261-nucleotide ribosomal RNA is filed under the name uncultured bacterium. RNAcentral describes it as "partial 16S ribosomal RNA". It matches the Rfam family "Bacterial small subunit ribosomal RNA", at positions 94 to 353 of the family's 1533-position model. The record is from RNAcentral.